GGAGUCUCACAUGUGCGCGAGUCACKGGGGUGUCGGAGAGAACCCVGAGGCGAAGUGAAAGCGGGGGCGUCUCUAAGACGCCCGGGAAGGACGGCGCGCAGGCGCACCGGAGCGUACACGUUGGGACCCGAAAGAUGGUGAACUAUGCUUGGUCAGGACGAAGUUAGGGGAAACCCUGAUUGAGGUCCGCAGAGAUUCUGACGAGCAAAUCGAUCGUCAGAGCUCGUUAUAGGGGCGAAAGACUAAUCGAACCAUCUAGUAGCUGGUUCUCUCCGAAGUUUCCCUCAGGAUAGCUGGAGUCCAUUUCGACCGGGACGAGUUUCAUCCGGUAAAGCGAAUGAGGCCGAAACGACCUCAACCUAUUCUCAAACUAAAUGAGUGAGAUCUCCGGCUUGCUUGACUGAAGCCGCGAUGUCUGGAUCAAGGUGCGAAAUGGGCCAUUUUUG
This 446-nucleotide ribosomal RNA is filed under the name Eurycotis floridana (Florida woods cockroach). Its description in RNAcentral is "eukaryotic LSU rRNA". It matches the Rfam family "Eukaryotic large subunit ribosomal RNA", at positions 670 to 1139 of the family's 3401-position model. Lineage: Eukaryota; Metazoa; Arthropoda; Insecta; Blattodea; Blattidae. The record is from RNAcentral.